GUGCUCACUUUGGCAGCACUUAUAGUAAAAUUGGAAUGAUACAGAGAAGAUUAGCAUAGGCUCUGCACAAGGAUGACAUAUAAAUCCGUGAAGCAUUCCAUUUAAAA
Molecule: small nuclear RNA, 107 nt
Organism: Mesocricetus auratus (golden hamster)
Lineage: Eukaryota; Metazoa; Chordata; Mammalia; Rodentia; Cricetidae
Source: Ensembl